Dalotia coriaria is the source of this 1355-nucleotide long non-coding RNA. RefSeq lists it as uncharacterized. Lineage: Eukaryota; Metazoa; Arthropoda; Insecta; Coleoptera; Staphylinidae. The record is from RefSeq and is a predicted model, not a curated record. The transcript has 4 exons.
UCUUAGUGAACUAUCGCAUCCUUGCGUGCGCAGUUUCGGCAAGCGCUAUCGAUGGAUUCAAGUCAGUUGCGGGCCGGUCGCUGGAGUAUCUAGACGAGUUUCCCGCGACGCGUAUCGUUUGAUCGGACUUCUAUUUUCUAAAUUUGCAUUUCGAAUAUGUUCGGUCAUCAAUCGACUUAGUUGUAACAUGCAUCUGCAGUGUUAUGUUAGUGAUUAAUGGUGCGUUUAUGUUCAUAAAAGUUUUUUUUUGCUCGGUUUUGAUGUUCAUUUUUCAAAUUACAAGAUUGCUGCGGUUUUAUUGUCGGUUACUGUGUGACUUUGUCGGUCAAUCGGAUACAUAUUCCUGCCAUGUUUUUUCCGUCAUUAGGAGAUCCUUUCUUGCUUAAUACUUGCUGUGACUAGGAGUCCGAUGAGUUCUGCAUUGUAUUUGCCGUGCCUUAGAGUCCGAUGUGAUCUGCAUUGUACUUUCUAUGAUUACCUGAUGCACUGGUAAGUUUGUAAACGUUAUUACAUUAUACUUUCAUAUUUAUCUAAAAUUGCAUGUAACGUGAAUACCGUAACAACACAAAAUUGAUGCGUGCCGUCGGAUGCGACUUGGAUCUACCCGCAGAGUAUGGUCAUGUCAAUCAUCGGUUUAAUAACGUGAAAUUUUCCUUGCUUGCAUUUUUAUUUUUAUUUCAUAAAUCUGCCGGCUCUUUAACGUAUUUUCGUAGUUUGGCAAUUAAUUAUUGAGAGUAAUAAUAUAUUUCUAAAAUAUUUGUAAUAUAUUUGUAAAAUGUAGCAAUUUUCUUUCUUGUAUCACCCUAUGUUCUACUUUACCUUGCGUUCUAGUGUAAAACUGACCUAAUUUGUCGUUUCUGGGUCGUUUUCUACUUAAACUUUGUAUUUUAUUUUUAAAUUUAGGAAUUUCCUGUUUGUAUCACCCUGUAUGUUUGUUUUUCUUGAUUUCCUAUUAUAAGUUUUCUAAAUUUGUAUUCCCGACUAUUUUCUUUUUUGUACACUUGAUUUUCUUUUUGUGAUGUAGUAAUUUCCUAUUUGUAGCACCCUGUAUAUUUGUUUUUCUUGUUGUCCGUGAAAAUUUAACUUUAGUUGUUGUUUUAGGUUUUUCUUCUUUGCACUUUGAAUUUUCUAUUUGUAACACCCUGUAUAUUUGUUCCCAUUUUCACUCACGCAGAAAAUGGUCUAUUUCUUCAUUUCUUUAUCCCGGUAGUACUUUGCGAAGUGUAACUUGCUUGCUUGUGCACGGCUAUGCAGGUCGUAAGACCUGUUUCAAUAUGGCGACAUGUACGAGUAUUUUGUUGACUUGUAAAAUAUAAACUUGUAUUCUAUUGUUAAUAAAGAAAUAGUAAAAUAUA